Molecule: ribosomal RNA, 393 nt
Filed under: uncultured bacterium
Lineage: Bacteria
Description: partial 16S ribosomal RNA
Rfam family: Bacterial small subunit ribosomal RNA
Source: RNAcentral
AUACGGAGGAUCCGAGCGUUAUCCGGAUUUAUUGGGUUUAAAGGGAGCGUAGGUGGAUUGUUAAGUCAGUUGUGAAAGUUUGCGGCUCAACCGUAAAAUUGCAGUUGAAACUGGCAGUCUUGAGUACAGUAGAGGUGGGCGGAAUUCGUGGUGUAGCGGUGAAAUGCUUAGAUAUCACGAAGAACUCCGAUCGCGAAGGCAGCUCACCGGGCCGGAACUGACACUGAUGCUCGAAAGUGCGGGUAUCAAACAGGAUUAGAUACCCUGGUAGUCCGCACAGUAAACGAUGAAUACUUGUUUUCGGCGAUAUAAUGUCGGAGGCAAAGCGAAAGCGAUAAGUAUUCCACCUGGGGAGUACGCCGGCAACGGUGAAACUCAAAGGAAUUGGCGGGG